RNAcentral lists this ribosomal RNA (253 nucleotides) under uncultured bacterium. Its description in RNAcentral is "partial 16S ribosomal RNA". It matches the Rfam family "Bacterial small subunit ribosomal RNA", at positions 524 to 776 of the family's 1533-position model. The record is from RNAcentral.
UACGGAGGAUGCGAGCGUUAUCCGGAUUUAUUGGGUUUAAAGGGUCUGUAGGCAGAUGAAUAAGUCAGUGGUGAAAUCCUAUCGCUUAACGAUAGAACUGCCAUUGAAACUGUUUAUCUUGAGUGUUGUUGAAGUAGCUGGAAUAGGUAGUGUAGCGGUGAAAUGCAUAGAUAUUACCUAGAACACCGAUUGCGAAGGCAGGUUACUAAGCAACAACUGACGCUGAUAGACGAAAGCGUGGGGAGCGAACAGG